RNAcentral lists this transfer RNA (76 nucleotides) under Clostridiales bacterium. Its description in RNAcentral is "tRNA-Arg". It matches the Rfam family "tRNA". Rfam says of the family: Transfer RNA (tRNA) molecules are approximately 80 nucleotides in length. Their secondary structure includes four short double-helical elements and three loops (D, anti-codon, and T loops). The record is from RNAcentral. Lineage: Bacteria; Bacillati; Bacillota; Clostridia; Eubacteriales.
GCGCCCGUAGUUCAACGGAUAGAGCGUCAGAUUCCGGUUCUGAAAGUUGGGGGUUCGAGUCCCUCCGGGCGUGCCA